GCAAGAUACCACGGGCGCACGGCGGAUGCCUUGGCACAGGGAGCCGAUGAAGGACGCGGCAAGCUGCGAUAAUCCCCGGCGAGGAGCACACAUCCUUCGACCCGGGGGUCUCCGAAUGGGCGAACCCAUCCGUAGCAGUACGGAUAUCCCGACCCUGAACACAUAGGGGCCGGGAGGACAACCCGGGGAACUGAAACAUCUAAGUACCCGGAGGAGAGGAAAUCAAUCUCGAGACUCCCCGAGUAGCGGCGAGCGAAAGGGGACCGAUGGCCAAACCGUCGAGCGGGCAUACCCGGCAGGGGUUCCGCCGACGGGGUUGCAGGGCCGCGCAUCCGGGGGCUGCCGCCCCCGGGCGCAGGUCCGGCUGGGGAGCGGAACGGCAUGGGAGGGCCGGCCGCAGCGGGUGACAGCCCCGUACGCGAACCCAGACCGGACGGCGCGACGCGGUCCCUGAGUAGGGCCGGGCACGUGAAACCCGGUCCGAACCUGGGUGGACCACCAUCCAAGCCUGAGUACUACCCUGUGACCGAUAGCGCACCAGUACCGUGAGGGAAAGGUGAAAAGCACCCCGGGAGGGGAGUGAAACAGUACCUGAAACCGUGCGCCCACGAGCAGUCGGAGCACCUAUAUGGUGUGACGGCGUGCCUUUUGUAGAAUGAGCCAGCGAGUCGCUGGCGCGGGGCGAGGUUAACCGAAAGGGAGCCGGAGCGAAAGCGAGCCUUAACAGGGCGACUUGAGUCCCGCGCCGCGGACGCGAAGCCGGGUGAGCUAUCCGUGGGCAGGCUGAAGCGGGGGUAAGACCCCGUGGAGGGCCGAACGCACGUCGGUUGAAAACGGCGGCGAUGACCUGCGGAUAGGGGUGAAAGGCCAAUCAAACCCGGAGAUAUCUCGUUCUCCCCGAAAUAGCUUUAGGGCUAGCGUCGCGCGUUCACCGCCGGAGGUAGAGCACCGGAUGGACGAGGGGGCUUCGCCGCCUACCGAAUCCAACCGAACUCCGAAUGCCGGCGGCCCAGAGCGCGGCAGUCAGAGCAUGUGGGCUAAGCUGUGUGCUCGAGAGGGAAACAGCCCGGACCGCCCGCUAAGGUCCCCAAGUUCCAGCCGAGUGGCAAAGGAUGUGCGUCCGCCCAGACAACCAGGAUGUUGGCUUAGAAGCAGCCAUGCAUUCAAAGAGUGCGUAACAGCUCACUGGUCGAGUGGACAUGCGCCGACAAUACACGGGGCUAAGCUGGACACCGAAGCGGCGGGAUUUUGAUUUUCAGAAUCGGUAGGGGAGCUUCCCAUGGGCGGGGAAGCCGCCGGGCGACCGGCGGUGGAGCGCAUGGGAGUGAGAAUGCUGGCAUGAGUAGCGAGAGACGAGAGAGUAACUCGUCCGCCGUGAACCCGAGGUUUCCUGGGCAAGGCUAAUCCUCCCAGGGUCAGUCGGGGGCUAAGGCGAGGCCGGGAGGCGUAGCCGACGCGCAGCAGGCAGACAUUCCUGCACCGCGCACGCGGCGCUACGACCGACGGGGCGACGGAUGGGGGUGGCUCGGCGGGGUUCUGGACGUCCCCGUGAUGGAGCGCGGCCCGCGGACCAGGGAAAUCCGGUCCGCACGAGGGCGAGGCUCCGGACGAAGCAUCUGAGCGAAGCGAGUGAGCCCGAGGUCCCUAGAAAAACCCCUAGGCAGGCGCGUGCGCGCCCGUACCGCAAACCGACACAGGUGGGUGGGUAGAACAUACCGAGGCGAUCGGGUCAACCAUGGUCAAGGAACUCGGCACAAUGGCCCCGUAACUUCGGGAGAAGGGGUGCCCGCGCGUACGUGAACGGACUUGCUCCGGGAGCGGAGGCGGGCCGCAGUGGAGAGGCCCAAGCGACUGUUUACCAAAAACACAGGACUCUGCAGAAGCCGCAAGGCGACGUAUAGGGUCUGACGCCUGCCCGGUGCCGGCAGGUCACGCGGAGGAGUUAGCGCAUCGCGCGAAGCCCCGAAGCCAAGCCCCGGUAAACGGCGGCCGUAACUAUAACGGUCCUAAGGUAGCGAAAUUCCUUGUCGGGUAAGUUCCGACCUGC
Molecule: ribosomal RNA, 2047 nt
Filed under: human gut metagenome
Description: bacterial LSU rRNA
Rfam family: Bacterial large subunit ribosomal RNA
Source: RNAcentral